RNAcentral lists this ribosomal RNA (178 nucleotides) under Listeria monocytogenes. Its description in RNAcentral is "partial 23S ribosomal RNA". It matches the Rfam family "Bacterial large subunit ribosomal RNA", at positions 2750 to 2925 of the family's 2925-position model. The record is from RNAcentral. Lineage: Bacteria; Bacillati; Bacillota; Bacilli; Caryophanales; Listeriaceae.
UAUGUGUGGCAGGGAUAAACGCUGAAAGCAUCUAAGCGUGAAGCCCCCCUCAAGAUGAGAUUUCCCAUUUCUUCGGAAAGUAAGAUCCCUGAAAGAUGAUCAGGUAGAUAGGUUUGGAGUGGAAGUGUAGCGAUACAUGGAGCGGACAAAUACUAAUCGAUCGAGGACUUAACCAAAA